CGGGGCCCGCACAAGCGGUGGAGCAUGUGGUUUUAAUUCGAUGAUACGCGAGGAACCUUUACCUGGUCUUGACAUCCCGGAGACCCUUAGGAAACUAGGGGGUGCUUCCAUCUGGAAGAAUCUGGAGACAGGUGCUGCAUGGCUGUCGUCAGCUCGUGUCGUGAGAUGUUGGGUUAAGUCCCGCAACGAGCGCAACCCUUUGCCUUUAGUUGCCAGCAGUUCGGCUGGGCACUCUAAAGGGACUGCCGGUGUUAAACCGGAGGAAGGUGGGAUGACGUCAAGUCAUCAUGCCCCUUAUGUCCAGGGCUUCACACAUGCUACAAUGGCCAGUACAGAGGGCUGCGAGACCGUGAGGUGGAGCGAAUCCCUUAAAGCUGGUCUCAGUUCGGAUCGGGGUCUGCAACUCGACCCCGUGAAGUCGGAGUCGCUAGUAAUCGCAGAUCAGCAACGCUGCGGUGAAUACGUUCCCGGGCCUU
Molecule: ribosomal RNA, 476 nt
Filed under: uncultured Rhodococcus sp.
Lineage: Bacteria; Bacillati; Actinomycetota; Actinomycetes; Mycobacteriales; Nocardiaceae
Description: bacterial SSU rRNA
Rfam family: Bacterial small subunit ribosomal RNA
Source: RNAcentral